GACGAACGCUGGCGGCGUGCUUAACACAUGCAAGUCGAGCGGAAAGGCGCUGCUUUUGUGGGGUGCUCGUGAGGCGAGGGGGUGAGUAACACGUGUGUAACCUGUCCUUGUCUUUGUGAGAACUUCAGGAAACUGGGGCGAAUACCGGGUAUGAUCUCCUGCUGCAUGGUGUGGGUUGGAGAGUGUCGGCGGUUGGGGAUGGUCUCGCGGCUUAUCAGCUUCUUGGUGGGGUAGGUGCUUACCAAGCCUUUGACGGGUAGCCGGCCUGAGAGCGUGAACGGGGACAUUGCGACUGAGAUACGCAGCAGACGCGUACGGGCGGCAGCAGUGGGAAAUAUUACAGAAUGGGCGGAAGCGAGUGACAGCAGCGUCGCGUGCGUGAUGACGGGUUUCGGGUUGUAAACAGAUGUCGAAUGUGACGAAGCGUGCGUGACGGUAAUGGGUAAAGAAGCCACGGCUAACUACGUG
RNAcentral lists this ribosomal RNA (468 nucleotides) under uncultured bacterium. RNAcentral describes it as "partial 16S ribosomal RNA". It matches the Rfam family "Bacterial small subunit ribosomal RNA", at positions 28 to 507 of the family's 1533-position model. The record is from RNAcentral.